GCCUGGCUGGCUCAGUUGGUGGAGCAUGUGACUCUGGGUCUCGGGUUGUGAGUUCGAGCCCCAUGCUGGGUG
This 72-nucleotide transfer RNA is filed under the name Felis catus (domestic cat). It matches the Rfam family "tRNA". From Rfam's summary of the family: Transfer RNA (tRNA) molecules are approximately 80 nucleotides in length. Their secondary structure includes four short double-helical elements and three loops (D, anti-codon, and T loops). RNAcentral also lists the same sequence under 1 other name. Lineage: Eukaryota; Metazoa; Chordata; Mammalia; Carnivora; Felidae. The record is from Rfam by way of RNAcentral.